AUUAACAGACUUGGCUGCCUGUCCAAGUAUGCACACCGACAAUGGGAAGCCUUGAAGUUAACACAACGUGGGGGUGCACCCAAAAAUUUGAAUUGGAAGGUGGCAGAAUGAAGGGGAAGCAUGGCUCUUUUCUCCCAACGUCAACAAGCACUCAUCGUUGACAUGAGCAGAAAGUGCAUCAAACAGCCGGCGAUGUGAAGCACUUCGGCAAGAUGCCACACACAGGCGAGAUUUUGGAGAAUGAAUCUCAGUGAAUUUGACAAUCAAUGCUUCCAUCAGCAUGUAGUUGGCUUCAAUGAACUAAACGUCUUGACAUCUGCCACCCUCCUUGAUUUUUUUUUUAGCCAUGAAAUCCAUGCUACAUACUAUUUCAAGGAGAAUUUUACUGUUAAUUAUAUGUGACUCCCUUUGUUUCGUAUAUAAAACACGGUUGCAGUUGAAAUCUA
Long non-coding RNA from Hippocampus zosterae (dwarf seahorse), 446 nucleotides. RefSeq lists it as uncharacterized. NCBI's taxonomy places the organism in Eukaryota, Metazoa, Chordata, Actinopteri, Syngnathiformes, Syngnathidae. The record is from RefSeq and is a predicted model, not a curated record. The transcript has 3 exons.